AUGCUCUGCGCUCCCCUCCUUGUCGUGCUGCUGGGGGUGUGGUGCACAGGUUCCAGCUCCCAGUCUGUGGUGACACAGCCGCCCGCAGAGUCAGUGUCUUCGGGAAACACUGUGAAACUCUCCUGCGCCAUGAGCAGUGGGACCAGCAUCAGUGGCUACUAUGUGUACUGGUUUCAGCAGAAACCUGGGACCCCCCCUCGGCACCUGCUGAGAUACAAGUCGGAUUCUAACAAGCACCAGGGCUCCGGGGUCCCCGCUCGCUUCUCUGCUUCCAAAGACACGUCCAGUAACACCUGCUACCUGACCAUUGCCGCUGCCCUUGCAGAAGACGAGGCUGACUAUUACUGUGCUGUGUGGCACAGCUUCCCCUCUCACAGUGAUAUAGUGAGAGGGGAAGUGAGACAAAAACGUCCACUGCCUGAUUUGAAUGAAACAUGCAGGGCUGGUAGCCCUUUCAAACUCAUCGGUUCAGGGAUUUCUGGGAAACUGCACCUCAAAUUCGUGAGGGCAAAAAUCAUGUCACCUCUCAGCGUGAGCCUCGUACUGUCAGAGGAGGAGCUGGAGCUGGAACCAGGGAUG
Non-coding RNA from Alligator sinensis (Chinese alligator), 579 nucleotides. The record is from the annotation of a RefSeq genome assembly. NCBI's taxonomy places the organism in Eukaryota, Metazoa, Chordata, Crocodylia, Alligatoridae.